UACAGAGGGUGCAAGCGUUGUUCGGAAUUACUGGGCGUAAAGGGCGUGUAGGCGGUUUAGCAAGUCAGAUGUGAAAGCCCGGGGCUUAACCCCGGAAGUGCAUUUGAAACUGCUAGGCUAGAGUGUGGUAGAGGAUGGUGGAAUUCCCAGUGGAGAGGUGAAAUUCGUAGAUAUUGGGAGGAACACCGGUGGCGAAGGCGGCCAUCUGGGCCACAACUGACGCUGAGGCGCGAAAGCGUGGGUAGCAAACAGG
This 253-nucleotide ribosomal RNA is filed under the name uncultured bacterium. RNAcentral describes it as "partial 16S ribosomal RNA". It matches the Rfam family "Bacterial small subunit ribosomal RNA", at positions 524 to 776 of the family's 1533-position model. The record is from RNAcentral.